GACGAACGCUGGCGGCGUGCUUAACACAUGCAAGUCGAACGGAAAGGCCCUGCUUUUGUGGGGUGCUCGAGUGGCGAACGGGUGAGUAACACGUGAGUAACCUGCCCUUGACUUUGGGAUAACUUCAGGAAACUGGGGCUAAUAUCGGGUAGGAGCUCCUGCUGCACGGUGGGGGUUGGAAAGUUUCGGCGGUUGGGGCUGGACUCGCGGCUUAUCAGCUGGUUGGUGGGGUAGUGGCUUACCAAGGCUUUGACGGGUAGCCGGCCUGAGAGGGUUACCGGCCACAUGGGGACUGAGAUACGGCCCAGACUCCUACGGGAGGCAGCAGUGGGGAAUAUUGCACAAUGGGCGGAAGCCUGAUGCAGCAACGCCGCGUGCGGGAUGACGGCCUUCGGGUUGUAAACCGCUUUCGCCUGUGACGAAGCGUGAGUGACGGUAAUGGGUAAAGAAGCACCGGCUAACUACGUG
RNAcentral lists this ribosomal RNA (468 nucleotides) under uncultured bacterium. Its description in RNAcentral is "partial 16S ribosomal RNA". It matches the Rfam family "Bacterial small subunit ribosomal RNA", at positions 28 to 507 of the family's 1533-position model. The record is from RNAcentral.